AUCAGCAGCUAUAUCACCCUGCAAUUCAAAACUGGGAGCCCACUGAAGCUCAGCAGGCAUGAGCCUGGUCAGUACCUGGAUGGGAGACCUCCUGGGAAAGCUGAGGUUACUGCUGGAA
RNAcentral lists this ribosomal RNA (118 nucleotides) under Lepisosteus oculatus (spotted gar). The record is from RNAcentral. Lineage: Eukaryota; Metazoa; Chordata; Actinopteri; Semionotiformes; Lepisosteidae.